Molecule: ribosomal RNA, 253 nt
Filed under: uncultured bacterium
Lineage: Bacteria
Description: partial 16S ribosomal RNA
Rfam family: Bacterial small subunit ribosomal RNA
Source: RNAcentral
UACGUAGGGUGCAAGCGUUGUCCGGAAUUAUUGGGCGUAAAGAGCUCGUAGGCGGUUCGUCGCGUCGGCUGUGAAAACCCGGAGCUCAACUCCGGGCCUGCAGUCGAUACGGGCAGACUGGAGUACUGCAGGGGAGACUGGAAUUCCUGGUGUAGCGGUGGAAUGCGCGGAUAUCAGGAGGAACACCGGUGGCGAAGGCGGGUCUCUGGGCAGUAACUGACGCUGAGGAGCGAAAGCGUGGGGAGCGAACAGG